GUGACCCAGCGACGCCGCGUGGAGGAAGAAGGCCCUUGGGUUGUAAACUCCUUUUCGGGGAGAAGAAGGCGGCGCAAGCCGCUUGACGGUACCUCCGGAAUAAGCCACGGCUAACUACGUGCCAGCAGCCGCGGUAAUACGUAGGUGGCAAGCGUUGUCCGGAUUUACUGGGCAUAAAGAGCGCGUAGGCGGUCCAAUCAGUCAGGCGUGAAAUCCCCCGGCUUAACCGAGGAACUGCGCUUGAUACUAUUGGGCUUAGAGUGCAGGAGGGGAGAGCGGAAUUCCUGGUGGAGCGGUGAAAUGCGUAGAUAUCAGGAGGAACGCCGGUGGCGAAAGCGGCUCUCUGGUCUGCUACUGACGCUGAGGCGCGAAAGCUAGGGGAGCAAACGGGAUUAGAUACCCCGGUAGUCCUAGCCCUAAACGAU
RNAcentral lists this ribosomal RNA (425 nucleotides) under uncultured anaerobic ammonium-oxidizing bacterium. Its description in RNAcentral is "bacterial SSU rRNA". It matches the Rfam family "Bacterial small subunit ribosomal RNA", at positions 383 to 810 of the family's 1533-position model. The record is from RNAcentral.